GGCCUAACACAUGCAAGUCGAGGGGCAGCGGAGGUAGCAAUACUUGCCGGCGACCGGCGCACGGGUGCGUAACGCGUAUGCAACCUACCUAUAACUGGGGAAUAGCCUUCUGAAAGGAAGAUUAACACCGCAUAACAUCACGAGACGGCAUCGCCUUGUGAUCAAAUCUCCGGAGGUUAUAGAUGGGCAUGCGUGACAUUAGCUAGUUGGUGAGGUAACGGCUCACCAAGGCGACGAUGUCUAGGGGGUCUGAGAGGAUGAUCCCCCACACUGGUACUGAGACACGGACCAGACUCCUACGGGAGGCAGCAGUAAGGAAUAUUGGACAAUGGGCGCAAGCCUGAUCCAGCCAUGCCGCGUGAAGGAUGACGGCCCUCUGGGUUGUAAACUUCUUUUAUACGGGAAUAAACCCCCUGAUUCUUCAGGGGCUGAAUGUACCGUAAGAAUAAGGAUCGGCUAACUUCGUGCCAGCAGCCGCGGUAAUACGAAGGAUCCAAGCGUUAUCCGGAUUUAUUGGGUUUAAAGGGUGCGUAGGCGGACUAUUAAGUCAGUGGUGAAAGCCUGCAGCUUAACUGCAGAACUGCCAUUGAUACUGAUGGUCUUGAGUACAUUUGAGGUGGGCGGAAUGUGUCAUGUAGUGGUGAAAUACUUAGAUAUGACACAGAACUCCGAUUGCGAAGGCAGCUCACUAAACUGUAACUGACGCUGAGGCACGAAAGCGUGGGGAUCAAACAGGAUUAGAUACCCUGGUAGUCCACGCCCUAAACGAUGAUUACUCGAUGUGUGCGAUACACUGUACGCGUCUAAGCGAAAGCAUUAAGUAAUCCACCUGGGGAGUACGGCCGCAAGGCUGAAACUCAAAGGAAUUGACGGGGGCCCGCACAAGCGGAGGAGCAUGUGGUUUAAUUCGAUGAUACGCGAGGAACCUUACCAGGGCUUGAAAGUUAGGGAAUGAUCUGGAAACAGGUCAGUCAGCAAUGACCCGAAACUAGGUGCUGCAUGGCU
Molecule: ribosomal RNA, 1005 nt
Filed under: uncultured bacterium
Lineage: Bacteria
Description: bacterial SSU rRNA
Rfam family: Bacterial small subunit ribosomal RNA
Source: RNAcentral